Molecule: ribosomal RNA, 301 nt
Filed under: uncultured bacterium
Lineage: Bacteria
Description: partial 16S ribosomal RNA
Rfam family: Bacterial small subunit ribosomal RNA
Source: RNAcentral
CAGCCGCCACGGGAAUACGAAGGGGGCUAGCGUUGUUCGGAAUUACUGGGCGUAAAGCGCACGUAGGCGGACAUUUAAGUCAGGGGUGAAAUCCCGGGGCUCAACCCCGGAACUGCCUUUGAUACUGGGUGUCUAGAGUAUGGAAGAGGUGAGUGGAAUUCCGAGUGUAGAGGUGAAAUUCGUAGAUAUUCGGAGGAACACCAGUGGCGAAGGCGGCUCACUGGUCCAUUACUGACGCUGAGGUGCGAAAGCGUGGGGAGCAAACAGGAUUAGAUACCCGCGUAGUCCCUGUCUCUUAUAA